This 449-nucleotide long non-coding RNA is filed under the name Sorghum bicolor (sorghum). RNAcentral's name for it is "long non-coding RNA (SBIC_LNC018715)". Lineage: Eukaryota; Viridiplantae; Streptophyta; Magnoliopsida; Poales; Poaceae. The record is from RNAcentral.
GCCGAGACGCCGUGCGCGGUGAAGACGCAACUGACGGGUGGGGCCUCCCCAUCAGCGUCUAGCAGAGAGAGGGGAGGGGGCCGGUUCAGCGCCCGUGUGGGCCGGCCUGCGGGCCAUUUAGCCGGGCCCCUUCCGGUUUCAAACUGUUUUUCUUUUUCUUUUUGUUUUAAAGGUGCCUUAUGUUUGAAUUUGUGUGAAAAAUUGUGCACAGAUUCAAAAAUCAUGGGAAUUUUUAUGCACGUUCUAUGAAAUAAGCAGAACACAUGAAAAAUAUUAAGUUUCAUUUUCUGAUAUUUUGAGCAUGUGUAAAAAUUUUGUUCUUUAGCUAAUAAGUAGAAUUUCCAUGAUUUUUAGGAAUUUAUUAAUAUGUCUAAAAAUCACCAAAAAUUUGUAGGGAGUCUCUGAAUUUUAUCCCCUGGCUUCACACAAAAUUUGGUGGCAUUUGGAUA